Non-coding RNA from Doryrhamphus excisus (bluestripe pipefish), 304 nucleotides. The record is from RefSeq and is a predicted model, not a curated record. NCBI's taxonomy places the organism in Eukaryota, Metazoa, Chordata, Actinopteri, Syngnathiformes, Syngnathidae.
AUACCAACUGUAGUAUCAGCAUCGUAUCGAUACUCGCGUGACGGGAUCGAAAAUGUUCAGUUCUUUUUUGGGUUUACAUUCUUGUUUAAAAAAACGUGUACUUGAACGCAUCAAGGUUGUUCCUACAGCACAUAAAUGCACCAGAAUUAAAGCAAAGCAGAUAUGUUUGGACUGUUGAAGAUUCCACAGAUCUUUGCUCCGAGGUCAAAGAUGUUGAUCCAACAGCGGGUUACUUUAAUCCACGGCAAACCACCUCAAUGUCAAAUUGGCCCAUUGGAAACUGCGUUUGUCCUGACCAUGUUGA